Molecule: ribosomal RNA, 440 nt
Filed under: uncultured bacterium
Lineage: Bacteria
Description: bacterial SSU rRNA
Rfam family: Bacterial small subunit ribosomal RNA
Source: RNAcentral
AACGCGAAGAACCUUACCUGGGCUCGAAAUGUAGAGGACGGUAUCAGAGAUGAUACUUCUCGAAAGAGUCUCUAUAUAGGUGCUGCAUGGCUGUCGUCAGCUCGUGCCGUGAGGUGUUUGGUUAAGUCCAGCAACGAGCGCAACCCUUAUCGUUAGUUGCCAGCGCGUAAUGGCGGGAACUCUAACGAGACUGCCUGGGUUAACCAGGAGGAAGGUGAGGAUGACGUCAAGUCCGCAUGGCCUUUAUGUCCAGGGCUACACACGUGCUACAAUGGUCGGUACAGAAGGCGGCAAAGCCGUAAGGUGGAGCAAAUCCUCAAAACCGAUCUCAGUUCAGAUUGUAGACUGCAACUCGUCUACAUGAAGUUGGAAUUGCUAGUAAUGGCGUGUCAGCAACAGCGCCGUGAAUACGUUCCCGGGCCUUGUACACACCGUGUCGA